This 529-nucleotide ribosomal RNA is filed under the name Meyerozyma guilliermondii. RNAcentral describes it as "eukaryotic LSU rRNA". It matches the Rfam family "Eukaryotic large subunit ribosomal RNA", at positions 103 to 646 of the family's 3401-position model. The record is from RNAcentral. Lineage: Eukaryota; Fungi; Ascomycota; Pichiomycetes; Serinales; Debaryomycetaceae.
UAUCGCUCAGAUUUAGCAAUCUGGCCCCUUCCGUGUCCGAGUUGUAAUUUGAAGAUUGUAACCUUGGGGUUGGCUCUUGUCUAUGUUUCUUGGAACAGGACGUCACAGAGGGUGAGAAUCCCGUGCGAUGAGAUGCCCAAUUCUAUGUAAGGUGCUUUCGAAGAGUCGAGUUGUUUGGGAAUGCAGCUCUAAGUGGGUGGUAAAUUCCAUCUAAAGCUAAAUAUUGGCGAGAGACCGAUAGCGAACAAGUACAGUGAUGGAAAGAUGAAAAGAACUUUGAAAAGAGAGUGAAAAAGUACGUGAAAUUGUUGAAAGGGAAGGGUUUGAGAUCAGACUCGAUAUUUUGUGAGCCUUGCCUUCGUGGCGGGGUGACCCGCAGCUUAUCGGGCCAGCAUCGGUUUGGGCGGUAGGAUAAUGGCGUAGAAUGUGACUUUACUUCGGUGAAGUGUUAUAGCCUGCGUUGAUGCUGCCUGCCUAACCGAGGACUGCCCAUUUUAUCAACGAUGCUGGCAUUAAUGAUCCGUAAACC